AUUGAACGCUGGCGGCAGGCCUAACACAUGCAAGUCGAACGAGUGGCGGACGGGUGAGUAAUGUCUGGGAAACUGCCUGAUGGAGGGGGAUAACGACUGGAAACGGUAGCUACUACCGCAUAACAUCAGUUCUGCCCUGAUGGUAUUGGCUUGUUGGGGGGGUAACGGCUCACCAAGGCGACGAUCCCUAGCUGGCCUGAGAGGAUGACCAGCCACACUGGAACUGAGACACGGUCCAGACUCCUACGGGAGGCAGCAGGGGGGAAUAUUGCACAAUGGACGCAAGCCUGAGGCAGCAAUGCCGCGUGUAUGAAGAAGGCCUUCGGGUUGUAAAGUUCUUUCAGCGGGGAAGCGUUACCCGAAGAAGAAGCACCGGCUAACUCCGUGCCAGCAGCCGCGGUAAUUC
Molecule: ribosomal RNA, 406 nt
Filed under: uncultured bacterium
Lineage: Bacteria
Description: partial 16S ribosomal RNA
Rfam family: Bacterial small subunit ribosomal RNA
Source: RNAcentral